AUUGAACGCUGGCGGCAGGCCUAACACAUGCGAGUCGAACGGUAACAGGAAACAGCUUGCUGUUUCGCUGACGAGUGGCGGACGGGUGAGUAAUGUCUGGGAAACUGCCUGAUGGAGGGGGAUAACUACUGGAAACGGUAGCUAAUACCGCAUAACGUCGCAAGACCAAAGAGGGGGACCCUCGGGCCUCUUGCCAUCGGAUGUGCCCAGAUGGGAUUAGCUUGUUGGUGGGGUAACGGCUCACCAAGGCGACGAUCCCUAGCUGGUCUGAGAGGAUGACCAGCCACACUGGAACUGAGACACGGUCCAGACUCCCACGGGAGGCAGCAGUGGGGAAUAUUGCACAAUGGGCGCAAGCCUGAUGCAGCCAUGCCGCGUGUAUGAAGAAGGCCUUCGGGUUGUAAAGUACUUUCAGCGGGGAGGAAGGGAGUAAAGUUAAUACCUUUGCUCAUUGACGUUACCCGCAGAAGAAGCACCGGCUAACUCCGUG
This 490-nucleotide ribosomal RNA is filed under the name uncultured bacterium. RNAcentral's name for it is "partial 16S ribosomal RNA". It matches the Rfam family "Bacterial small subunit ribosomal RNA", at positions 30 to 507 of the family's 1533-position model. The record is from RNAcentral.